RNAcentral lists this non-coding RNA (178 nucleotides) under uncultured Cohnella sp. Its description in RNAcentral is "6S / SsrS RNA". It matches the Rfam family "6S / SsrS RNA". Rfam says of the family: E. coli 6S RNA was the first non coding RNA to be sequenced, but its function was unknown until recently. It consists of 184 nucleotides that fold into an extended hairpin structure with a large single-stranded internal bulge. The record is from RNAcentral. Lineage: Bacteria; Bacillati; Bacillota; Bacilli; Caryophanales; Paenibacillaceae.
CUUCCUGCGAUGUACGUUACGGCGCUUAUUGUUUUGAACCAAUGCUGUUUCAUCGGGAGUCUCAUAUGACCGAGCGGCUGUCACGCCCCCUAAAGGGGACUUCAAAAACUCGGAUGCGGACACCCACCUGCGAGAGCGGGUUCAGAAACUUGCACGUCGAACGGCAUAGGCGGGUUUU